RNA transcript from Anguilla rostrata (American eel), 1620 nucleotides. It is a transcript of the gene named rab GTPase-activating protein 1-like, with no coding region annotated. The transcript has 9 exons. The record is from RefSeq and is a predicted model, not a curated record. Lineage: Eukaryota; Metazoa; Chordata; Actinopteri; Anguilliformes; Anguillidae.
ACCUGUGUACCUGUCUGAGGAGCUCUUCUGUGUCUGUGUACCUGUCUGUGGAGCACACCUGUGCCUGUGUACCUGUUUGAAAAGAUCACCUGUGUACCUGUCUGAAGGGCUCACCUGUGUACCUGUCUGUGGAGCAAACCUGUGCCUGUGUAUCUGUCUGAGGAGCUCACCUGUGCCUGUGUAUCUGUCUGUGAAGCUCACCUGUGUACCUGUGUGAGGAAGCUCACCUGUUUCUCAUACCUGUGUGAGGAAGCUCACCUGUUUCUCAUACCUGUGUGAGGACGCUCACCUGUUUCUCACACCUGUGUGAGGAUGAUGGAAGAGGUGUCCAUUGCAGCGGCCUACGACGCCCACAUCAUUAACCAGACCACCGAAGAAGACCUGCUGGCGUCCCUGGUGGCCCAUUCCAAACUGAGAGCCGCGCAGCUACCCAAUCAGAAGCAGCGCGAGAUGAAGAGGAAGGUGCCGUUUCAAAGGGAGAACCAACCACCAAUGAGCAUCGAAAUGUACAAGAGAGAGAACCAGCUGCUGCAGAAGUCCAGCAUUCGUCUGGAGCAGGAGAACGACAUCCUGGCUCAUGAGCUGCUGAACAGUAAGGUGGUGCUCCGGAGGCACCUGGACCAGGUGGAGGACAAGGCCGAGCAGCUGAAUCAGGAGCUCCUCGAGGCCCGACUGCAGCUGCUGGAUUCCACCGAGGAGAUGCAGGUUCAGGAAGAGGCGACGACGAAGCUGAAGGAGGUUUUCCGCGCACAGCUAGAGGAAGCAGAGUCCCAGAGGGAAACGUCAAAUGCCAUUAUGGCUGAGUACAAACAGAUCUGCUCACAGCUGAGCUCCAGGUUGGAAACUGAGGAGGGCCAGGCCAAGGCAGAGCUGGACCGGGUGAAGAGCCUGGUGGGGGACUGUGAGCACUGCCAGGUGGUUUUUGACGAGGUGGGGCAGCUCCGGCCACCCUCAGAGGGGCGGGGCUCGAACCCGGGCCUGAAGACCGGCGCGCUGCAGUCUCGACAGAAGGACCUGGAGCAGGAACUGGCCCAGGUCAAAAUACAGCUUGUGGAGGCAGAGUGCAGGAUCCAGGACUUGGAGCACCAGAAGGGGGCGCUGGAGAGCGAAUUCCAGAACACCCAAAACUGGUUUACCAAAGCUCUGAGCAACCUCAAAAUUCCCCCUGUGCACCAUUAACCCUCCGUCUCUCAGGGGGAAUAGGUCUCACUGCACAGUGUGUGUGUGUGUGUGCGUGUGUGUUUGUGUAUGUAUGUGCGUGGACCAGGGAUCUCAAAAUCCAGUCCUGGAGGGCCGCUGUGUCAGCUGGUUUACAUGCUGACUUUAUGGCACUGAUUGGCUAAAAUUUCUGCACACCUUAAAUCAGCUACUCCAAGGCUUAAAUUAGCCACUGAAAAACAACCCUCCAAGACCGGGGUUUCAGAGCCCUGGAGCAGACUCCCCUCGCUCUUAAAGCAGCCCUCCUUCUCCUUCCGGGCAAAGAACCGUCUCUUAAAGACAUGCACCACAGCUUAAAGCACAUGGACAUCUCUGCUAGCUUUCACACAUUUUAUGAAGUGAACAUUGUCUUUAGUGGGGUAACAUCACAUGGGGUAAUGCCUUAAGAAUUAGGCAAUAAUA